GAAGUCGUCCGUAUCAAGUGAUACGUGAAUUGCUCAGUAGUGAUUCGCCACUACCGUAGCUGGCGGAAAUAGCUUAAUUGGUAGAGCAUAGCCUUGCCAAGGCUGAGGUUGAGGGAUCAAGUCCCUCAUUCCGCUUCCGGCUUCGUCG
RNAcentral lists this transfer RNA (148 nucleotides) under Helianthus annuus (common sunflower). RNAcentral describes it as "sRNA HanXRQr2_Chr11g0479591". The stretch from base 63 to 135 matches the Rfam family "tRNA". Lineage: Eukaryota; Viridiplantae; Streptophyta; Magnoliopsida; Asterales; Asteraceae. The record is from RNAcentral.